CAAUAGCGUAUAUUAAAGUUGUUGCAGUUAAAAAGCUCGUAGUUGGAUUUCUGAUCGAGACAUCAGGUCGGGUCCGAGAGGAUCAUGUACUUUGAUUUUGUUUUGAUCAUCCUUGGGGAGAGCAUUUCUGGCAUUCAGUUGUCGGGAUUGGGAUCCUCAUCGUUUACUGUGAAAAAAUUGGAGUGUUCAAAGCAGGCCUCGGCCUCUGAAUACAUUAGCAUGGAAUAAUAAGAUAGGACUUUGGUGGUCUAUUUUGUUGGUUUGCACGCCAAAGUAAUGAUUAAUAGGGAUAGUUGGGGGUAUUCGUACUCAAUUGUCAGAGGUGAAAUUCUUGGAUUUAUGGAAGACGAACUACUGCGAAAGCAUUUACCAAGGAUGUUUUCAUUAA
This 388-nucleotide ribosomal RNA is filed under the name uncultured eukaryote. RNAcentral describes it as "partial 18S ribosomal RNA". It matches the Rfam family "Eukaryotic small subunit ribosomal RNA", at positions 592 to 976 of the family's 1831-position model. The record is from RNAcentral.